CCUACGGGUGGCAGCAGUGAGGAAUAUUGGUCAAUGGACGCAAGUCUGAACCAGCCAUGCCGCGUGCAGGAAGACGGCUCUAUGAGUUGUAAACUGCUUUUGUACGAGGGUAAACGCAGAUACGCGUAUCUGUCUGAAAGUAUCGUACGAAUAAGGAUCGGCUAACUCCGUGCCAGCAGCCGCGGUAAUACGGAGGAUUCAAGCGUUAGCCGGAUUUAUUGGGUUUAAAGGGUGCGUAGGCGGUCGGAUAAGUUAGAGGGGAAAUCCCGAGGCUCAACUUCGGAAUUGCCUCUGAUACUGUUAGGCUAGAGAGUAGUUGCGGUAGGCGGAAUGUAUGGUGUAGCGGUGAAAUGCUUAGAGAUCAUACAGAACACCGAUUGCGAAGGCAGCUUACCAAGCUACGUCUGACGUUGAGGCACGAAAGCGUGGGGAGCAAACAGGAUUAGAUACCCCUGUAGUC
Molecule: ribosomal RNA, 460 nt
Filed under: uncultured bacterium
Lineage: Bacteria
Description: partial 16S ribosomal RNA
Rfam family: Bacterial small subunit ribosomal RNA
Source: RNAcentral